Molecule: ribosomal RNA, 498 nt
Filed under: uncultured Glomeromycotina
Lineage: Eukaryota; Fungi; Glomeromycota
Description: partial small subunit ribosomal RNA
Rfam family: Eukaryotic small subunit ribosomal RNA
Source: RNAcentral
CCAAUAGCGUAUAUUAAAGUUGUUGCAGUUAAAAAGCUCGUAGUUGAAUUUCGGGACCAAUAUGUCGGUCGUGCUUCGGUACGUACUUGCAUUAUUGGUUUCUCCCUUCUGAGGAACCAUGAUGUCAUUAAUUUGGUGUCGUGGGAAAUCAGGACUGUUACUUUGAAAAAAUUAGAGUGUUUAAAGCAGGCUCGCGCUUGAAUACAUUAGCAUGGAAUAAUGAAAUAGGACGUUUGAUUCUAUUUUGUUGGUUUCUAGGAUCGACGUAAUGAUUAAUAGGGAUAGUUGGGGGCAUUAGUAUUCAAUUGUCAGAGGUGAAAUUCUUGGAUUUAUUGAAGACUAACUACUGCGAAAGCAUUUGCCAAGGAUGUUUUCAUUAAUCAAGAACGAAAGUUAGGGGAUCGAAGUCGAUCAGAUACCGUCGUAGUCUUAACCAUAAACUAUGCCGACUAGGGAUCGGAUGAUGUUAAUUUUUUAAUGACUCAUUCGGCGCCUUAC